This 1150-nucleotide long non-coding RNA is filed under the name Numida meleagris (helmeted guineafowl). RNAcentral describes it as "lncRNA (ENSNMEG00000019690.1)". Lineage: Eukaryota; Metazoa; Chordata; Aves; Galliformes; Numididae. The record is from RNAcentral.
UGAGCAUAACCACAUGGAUUUCAUUCCUGGUGGACCUAAAAUCUGAGAGCCGUGGCUGUGGAGAGAAACUGCUACUUGGGAAUAAAAAUAGCCAGGCCACUUGCUCUGCUCCUGCUCUAUCUUCAAGUGGAAUUCCCUACAAAAUGCAGAUGGGCAGAAUUGGAAAAUCAGCAAAAGCAGAGAGGCUGACUGUUGUGGAAGUACCAUGGGGCGAGAGUGCCCUGGCUAAUAGGGGCUUUCUAUAAGACACAAGAAAUAACAAGAUCUGAUGUUUGGAAACAUCAUUCCCCUAUUCUUUCAUCCCACUGAUGAAGCAGAUGAGAGCCCUGACCCUCCCCUGGCGCUCCUCACAUGUACAGAGUACAGCUGGCCACUAAGCUGCUGGAUGAUUGCUGCUGAAGCUACGACACCUGACAAGCAGGCAGAAAUUGUAGGUGACAACAAAUGGGAAAAUUCACAGCAGCUCCAUGUUCGUGGCGAAACAGAAGGUGGCACUCCAUGGUUGUACAUGUGCUCUGGCUCUGGUACACACAGCGUUUCCAAAGCGAGCGUGCAUGUUGCCACAAGCUACAACUAACGUAAAGCAGGAAAUUCCAUGAACACCUGGAUCUGUUCGGGCUUAUCCUCCUGAGAGCUAAAAGACCACGUUUCUACAGACGUAUACAGAAGGGUUGGAAAAAGAAGCAGCAGUGACUAUAGAUUACGUGAUAAAAUCCUCCUGAGGAUGCAAGUGCUUUGGUCUAAGCAUGGAAUUAUUGCAUUGAAAGAGUCUCUGCCCUGCACAUGUGUAGCCAUUCGUAGACGUUAAACCAGAACGGAUCGCCGGGAACCUGUGGGUGAUGGCCAUAUCCCAGUGACCCAUUACAAGUUGUUUGGGAUGAUUAAGUUUUUCUGAACAGCCACUUCAUUGCUCUUUGCUGUCUCUGCAUUUGUUUCCAUAAAGUCAGGAACCUACAGGUGUAUCAAAGUGAAAUUUGCUACAGUUGAUACUUCUUCGACAUUUUCAAUCACAAGAAAUUCAGCUGAAGCCAAUGGGAUCAUUCCAGAGAGAGAUCAAAGUCAUGCUGUGAUAUCUAAAAAUGCAAAUUUCUAUGUGAAUAUGAAAGAGAUGUAAAAUGGAAAUGGUUUCCCGUUUGAUGUAUUUCAAGAG